UACGUAGGGUGCGAGCGUUGUCCGGAAUUACUAGGCGUAAAGAGCUCGUAGGUGGUUUGUCGCGUUGUCCGUGAAAACUCACAGCUCAACUGUGGGCGUGCGGGCGAUACGGGCAGACUGGAGUACUGCAGGGGAGACUGGAAUUCCUGGUGUAGCGGUGGAAUGCGCAGAUAUCAGGAGGAACACCGGUGGCGAAGGCGGGUCUCUGGGCAGUAACUGACGCUGAGGAGCGAAAGCGUGGGGAGCGAACAGG
Molecule: ribosomal RNA, 253 nt
Filed under: uncultured bacterium
Lineage: Bacteria
Description: partial 16S ribosomal RNA
Rfam family: Bacterial small subunit ribosomal RNA
Source: RNAcentral